CGCUUUGAAUUUGAAUAAGACCUGGCCAUGUUUGAAGUCAUUACCCUUAACCGUAAGGAGGGGGAUGCCUAAGGCUAGGCUUGCGACUGGAGUGAAGUCGUAACAAGGUAGCCGUACUGGAAGGUGCGGCUG
RNAcentral lists this non-coding RNA (132 nucleotides) under Triticum aestivum (bread wheat). The record is from Rfam by way of RNAcentral. Lineage: Eukaryota; Viridiplantae; Streptophyta; Magnoliopsida; Poales; Poaceae. RNAcentral also lists the same sequence under 1 other name.